UAAUCAAGAUUUUAUCUUACAGAUUCUACUGAUUCCUCUGAAUACCUUUAUCAAUAUCUUCAUGUUGUUAAUGCACAUUAGUGUCUCUAAGUGUAACCAUGACAUUGGUGUCUCACAGGGACUCCCCCGGUGCCUCCAGGACAAGAUCAGAGCCCUGCAGCCGAUCCGAUGUUGCCGGUUGUAUCUGAGAACAAUGAGGCUCAUGGAGAUGAGGAGAUGACAAAUAAUGGAGGCGUAAAGCCCCCUGAAGUUAAGACAGAUUCAUCACGUGAAGGGAACCCAACAGCAAAUGGCCCGGGGUCCACAGCUGAAGGAGAGCCCAACGAGCAUGACAGAGGGGAGGAAGAGCAACAACUGCCAAACACUG
Long non-coding RNA from Clupea harengus (Atlantic herring), 367 nucleotides. The record is from Ensembl. NCBI's taxonomy places the organism in Eukaryota, Metazoa, Chordata, Actinopteri, Clupeiformes, Clupeidae.